CCGCAAAAUAAAUCCCUCUUUGGCACUGAAUUUUGCAUGUUAUUUAGUAUUUUUGUAUCACGUUAUGAUUAAAAUGGACAUAUUUCUUGAAUAAUACUUUUAAUCUGUCAAAUGAUAGGAAAAAUAUUAGUCCUCAUACUUUGUUUUGGAUUUGUUACUUUUUGUGAUAGAUAGGGGUACCAAAGCCUUGGUAUUUCCAGAGGGUAUUAAAAUACAAAAUUAGCCUGUGACAG
Molecule: non-coding RNA, 233 nt
Organism: Paramuricea clavata
Lineage: Eukaryota; Metazoa; Cnidaria; Anthozoa; Malacalcyonacea; Plexauridae
Source: the annotation of a GenBank genome assembly